Ictalurus punctatus (channel catfish) is the source of this 577-nucleotide long non-coding RNA. RefSeq lists it as uncharacterized. The record is from RefSeq and is a predicted model, not a curated record. Lineage: Eukaryota; Metazoa; Chordata; Actinopteri; Siluriformes; Ictaluridae. The transcript is spliced from 3 exons.
CGCGAGCAGUGUGGAGCGAUGACGUCACCUGGGGGGGGGGGGGGGGUGUCGCUCUAACAGGAGCAGUGUGUUAGUACUUCCUGUCUGACUGACUGACAUCCACCUUUACAGUUACAGCUGUCUCUUUAAGAAGAUUCCGACAGGUGACCGUGCCUUUCCUCUCCAGACAGUUGUAUAGAACGUCUCUGUACGCUGUAGCGUUACAAUUUCCAUAAGAACCAAGAAUCCCAAACACUGUUCCAGCACGACACAACAUGCACAAAAAGUGUGAGCUCCAUGAAGACACGGUGUGGUAGAAGGUAGAAGAACUCAAGUGUCCUGUACAGAACCCUGACUUCAACCCCUCGGAUGAACUGGAACUGGAGUCUCCUCACAUCAACAUCAGCGCCUGACCUCAACCCCACUAAUGCUCUUGUAGCUGAACGAACACAAAUCCCCACAGCCACGCCCCAAAAUCUAGUGCAAAGCCUUCACAGAAGAGUGGAGCACAUUAUUACAAUCAUUUUGUAUGACAGGGUGGAAUGUGUAUGAAUGGAACAUGUCAAGAUAGAACAUUAAAAAUAUAUUUCAAAAAUGA